RNAcentral lists this ribosomal RNA (498 nucleotides) under uncultured bacterium. Its description in RNAcentral is "partial 16S ribosomal RNA". It matches the Rfam family "Bacterial small subunit ribosomal RNA", at positions 27 to 507 of the family's 1533-position model. The record is from RNAcentral.
GGAUGAACGCUGGCGGCGUGCCUAAUCCAUGCAAGUCGAGCGAACGGACGAGAAGCUUGCUUCUCUGAUGUUAGCGGCGGACGGGUGAGUAACACGUGGAUAACCUACCUAUAAGACUGGGAUAACUUCGGGAAACCGGAGCUAAUACCGGAUAAUAUUUUGAACCGCAUGAUUCAAAAGUGAAAGACGGUCUUGCUGUCACUUAUAGAUGGAUCCGCGCUGCAUUAGCUAGUUGGUAAGGUAACGGCUUACCAAGGCAACGAUGCAUAGCCGACCUGAGAGGGUGAUCGGCCACACUGGAACUGAGACACGGUCCAGACUCCUACGGGAGGCAGCAGUAGGGAAUCUUCCGCAAUGGGCGAAAGCCUGACGGAGCAACGCCGCGUGAGUGAUGAAGGUCUUCGGAUCGUAAAACUCUGUUAUUAGGGAAGAACAUAUGUGUAAGUAACUGUGCACAUCUUGACGGUACCUAAUCAGAAAGCCACGGCUAACUACGUG